GACGAACGCUGGCGGCGUGCUUAACACAUGCAAGUCGGACGGUGAAGGGGUCUGCUUUUGUGGGCCCUGGAUGAGUGGCGAACGGGUGAGUAACACGUGAGUAACCUGCCCCCUUCUUCUGGAUAACCGCAUGAAAGUGUGGCUAAUACGGGAUAUUCUGGGUCUGUCGCAUGAUGGGUCUGGGAAAGAUUGCGCCUUUGGGUGUUUUUGGUGGGGGAUGGGCUCGCGGCCUAUCAGCUUGUUGGUGGGGUGAUGGCCUACCAAGGCGGUGACGGGUAGCCGGCCUGAGAGGGUGGACGGUCACACUGGGACUGAGACACGGCCCAGACUCCUACGGGAGGCAGCAGUGGGGAAUAUUGCACAAUGGGCGCAAGCCUGAUGCAGCGACGCCGCGUGAGGGAUGGAGGCCUUCGGGUUGUAAACCUCUUUCGCCAGUGAAGCAGGCCUGCUCCUUGUGGGUGGGUUGACGGUAGCUGGAUAAGAAGCGCCGGCUAACUACGUG
Molecule: ribosomal RNA, 502 nt
Filed under: uncultured bacterium
Lineage: Bacteria
Description: partial 16S ribosomal RNA
Rfam family: Bacterial small subunit ribosomal RNA
Source: RNAcentral